UCCGUAGGGUGCUAGCGUUGUCCGGAAUUAUUGGGCGUAAAGCGCUCGUAGGCGGUUUGUUGCGUCGACCGUGAAAACCCGGGGCUCAACUUCGGGCUUGCGGUCGAUACGGGCGGGCUAGAGUUCGGUAGGGGAGACUGGAAUUCCUGGUGUAGCGGUGAAAUGCGCAGAUAUCAGGAGGAACACCGGUGGCGAAGGCGGGUCUCUGGGCCGAUACUGACGCUGAGGAGCGAAAGCGUGGGGAGCGAACAGG
This 253-nucleotide ribosomal RNA is filed under the name uncultured bacterium. Its description in RNAcentral is "partial 16S ribosomal RNA". It matches the Rfam family "Bacterial small subunit ribosomal RNA", at positions 524 to 776 of the family's 1533-position model. The record is from RNAcentral.